Molecule: ribosomal RNA, 484 nt
Filed under: uncultured bacterium
Lineage: Bacteria
Description: partial 16S ribosomal RNA
Rfam family: Bacterial small subunit ribosomal RNA
Source: RNAcentral
AUUGAACGCUGGCGGCAGGCCUAACACAUGCAAGUCGAGCGGAUGAAGGGAGCUUGCUCCUGGAUUCAGCGGCGGACGGGUGAGUAAUGCCUAGGAAUCUGCCUCGUAGUGGGGGAUAACGUCCUGAAACGGGCGCUAAUACCGCAUACGUCCUGCUGGAGAAGGUGGGGGAUCUUCGGACCUCACGCUAUCAGAUGAGCCUAGGUCGGAUUAGCUAGUUGGUGGGGUAAAGGCCUACCAAGGCGACGAUCCGUAACUGGUCUGAGAGGAUGAUCAGUCACACUGGAACGGAGACACGGUCCAGACGCCUAAGGGAGGCAGCAGUGGGGAAUAUUGGACAAUGGGCGAAAGCCUGAUCCAGCCAGGCCGCGUGUGUGAAGAAGGUCUUCGGAUUGUAAAGCACUUUAAGUUGGGAGGAAGGGCAGUAAGUUAAUACCUUGCUGUUUUGACGUUACCAACAGAAUAAGCACCGGCUAACUUCGUG